UACGGAGGGUGCAAGUGUUAUCCGGAUUCACUGGGUUUAAAGGGUGCGUAGGCGGACAGGUAAGUCAGUGGUGAAAUCUCUGGGCUUAACCCAGAAACUGCCGUUGACACUAUUUGUCUUGAAUAUCCUGGAGGUAGGCGGAAUAUGUCAUGUAGCGGUGUAAUGCUUAGAUAUGACAUAGAACACCGAUAGCGAAGGCAGCUUACUACAGGAUGAUUGACGCUGAGGCACGAAAGCGUGGGGAGCAAACAGG
Molecule: ribosomal RNA, 253 nt
Filed under: uncultured bacterium
Lineage: Bacteria
Description: partial 16S ribosomal RNA
Rfam family: Bacterial small subunit ribosomal RNA
Source: RNAcentral